CCUACGGGGCGCAGCAGUGAGGAAUAUUGGUCAAUGGACGGAAGUCUGAACCAGCCAUGCCGCGUGCAGGAAGACGGCUCUAUGAGUUGUAAACUGCUUUUGUAUAAGGGUAAACCUGAAUACGUGUAUUCAGCUGAAUGUACUCUACGAAUAAGGAUCGGCUAACUUCGUGCCAGCAGCCGCGGUAAUACGGAGGAUCCACGCGUUAUCCGGAUUUAUUGGGUUUAAAGGGUGCGUAGGCGGAUUGAUAAGUUAGAGGUGAAAUGUUCGGGCUUAACUCGGGAACUGCCUCUAAUACUGUUGGUCUAGAGAGUAGAUGCGGUAGGCGGAAUGUAUGGUGUAGCGGUGAAAUGCUUAGAGAUCAUACAGAACACCGAUUGCGAAGGCAGCUUACCAAGCUAUAUCUGACGUUGAGGCACGAAAGCGUGGGGAGCAAACAGGAUUAGAUACCCCUGUAGUC
Molecule: ribosomal RNA, 460 nt
Filed under: uncultured bacterium
Lineage: Bacteria
Description: partial 16S ribosomal RNA
Rfam family: Bacterial small subunit ribosomal RNA
Source: RNAcentral